UCUAGAGAUUACUCCUACGGGAGGCAGCAGUGGGGAAUAUUGCACAAUGGGCGCAAGCCUGAUGCAGCCAUGCCGCGUGUAUGAAGAAGGCCUUCGGGUUGUAAAGUACUUUCAGCGGGGAGGAGGGUGUUGAGGUUAAUAACCUCAGCAAUUGACGUUACCCGCAGAAGAAGCACCGGCUAACUCCGUGCCAGCAGCCGCGGUAAUAAUCGUCGAC
This 217-nucleotide ribosomal RNA is filed under the name uncultured Enterobacter sp. RNAcentral describes it as "partial 16S ribosomal RNA". It matches the Rfam family "Bacterial small subunit ribosomal RNA", at positions 325 to 532 of the family's 1533-position model. Lineage: Bacteria; Pseudomonadati; Pseudomonadota; Gammaproteobacteria; Enterobacterales; Enterobacteriaceae. The record is from RNAcentral.